Molecule: non-coding RNA, 45 nt
Filed under: Schistosoma margrebowiei
Lineage: Eukaryota; Metazoa; Platyhelminthes; Trematoda; Strigeidida; Schistosomatidae
Source: RNAcentral
AUCCAGCUGACGAAUCCAGAACAGGAUAAAACGCGCGUUCUGGAU